UCGAGAAUCUUCGGCAAUGGGCGCAAGCCUGACCGAGCGACGCCGCGUGGAGGACGAAGGCCUUCGGGUUGUAAACUCCUGUCGAGGGGAAGGAAGGGGCCGCAAGGCCCUUGACCGCUCCCUGGAGGAAGCACGGGCUAAGUUCGUGCCAGCAGCCGCGGUAAGACGAACCGUGCGAACGUUAUUCGGAAUCACUGGGCUUAAAGCGCGUGUAGGCGGGUCGGUGCGUCGGCCGCUGAAAUCCCCCGGCUCAACCGGGGAAGGGGCGCCGAUACGACCGGCCUGGAGCGACGUAGGGGGAACUGGAACUUCCGGUGGAGCGGUGAAAUGCGUUGAGAUCGGAAGGAACGCCCGUGGCGAAAGCGAGUUCCUGGACGUCGGCUGACGCUGAGACGCGAAAGCCAGGGGAGCGAACG
Molecule: ribosomal RNA, 416 nt
Filed under: uncultured bacterium
Lineage: Bacteria
Description: bacterial SSU rRNA
Rfam family: Bacterial small subunit ribosomal RNA
Source: RNAcentral